Felis catus (domestic cat) is the source of this 563-nucleotide long non-coding RNA. RefSeq lists it as uncharacterized. The transcript is spliced from 3 exons. Lineage: Eukaryota; Metazoa; Chordata; Mammalia; Carnivora; Felidae. The record is from RefSeq and is a predicted model, not a curated record.
UUGAUCUGGGAUUAGCCAGUGAUGUGGCACUCAGUGGGAGAGAAGCAUUAUGAUACAAGUAGAGCCUUGAAAGGUUUGCGCAGUGGAGCUUGCCCUUUAUCUUGCUGUGCUUGGAACCCUGGACCACCAUGUGACUGAACACUAACUUGCCUGCUGGAGAACAAGAAGCCACGCAGAGGAUAACAGUGGUGCCACUGAGCCUCAACACUUUGGCUGUUUUGCUAGGAAGUGGGUCCAUGAACUCCUCACUCUGCCAACUUGGAGGUGGAACUUCUCCACUGGAAAUUUCCCCAGCCAGAGAUGCCAUUUUUGCCUGAAGCCCUGAACCAAACUGCAUUAUUUAUUAACUCUUCCAAAGGAGCUCUCUUCAGACAUUGCUGUAGGAGCUAUGGAGCUUGCCACCUGCCUGCUGCUUUGACUGCUAAGGAGUGAUGGACCUAGCCAUGGUGUUUGGAGCUCUGGGAAGUAUGAGAAAACAAGAUGUUCUUCAGAAGGAACAGUGAAAACCAGGAGGCUUAGUGACUUGUUCAGGGUGUAAAUAAAACAAAGGGGUCUCUCCACCA